Drosophila melanogaster (fruit fly) is the source of this 749-nucleotide non-coding RNA. Lineage: Eukaryota; Metazoa; Arthropoda; Insecta; Diptera; Drosophilidae. The record is from Ensembl.
UCCAAAAAAGUAACAAACAACCAAAAUCACUUUAAGCAAGUCGAUGACAAAUUUUGAAUUUUCUCUCUCUCAAAAAUAGUUUAAAAAUAGUUUUCUUAUUUUGUUGUGGAAAUAUCCCAUGUUUUACAAAACUCGUUCCUCCUCAUGUGUCCAUACCCAAAAAAGAAAUCACAAUGCGCUUUGAUUGAGCCUGCCUUUCCCAGAAAAUCCCAAAGAUUUUCUCUCCACCAGGAUGAAAUAUGGAAACCAAAUUUAGUUCUCCUUGGAGGUGGCAUCAGUCACGUCGUCCUCAUCGUUGUUCUGACCGCCGCUGCUGAUCUCGAAGGAUAUCUGAAUGACCGUCGGUUGACGCUGGCUCGAACUGUAGCUGUAGAUUCGCAGAGCGUAGCAGAAGAUCUGGGCCAAAAGAUCCCAGCAUCCAAACUCCGACAUGGUCAUCGAUCCCUGUUGACUUCCCAGCGGCACGGAAAUAUUGGCACGGAAUUGUGGGCGCUGUUGCUGAUGAUGAUGUCGCUGCUGCUGCUGCUGUUGUUGCGAUUGUUGCUGCUGCUGCGAUGGUGCAGCAGCUGUUGCAGUUGUCCUUGGACUCGCUGCUGUCUGCUGGCCGUUUUGCUGAUAGCUUCUGGCCAACAAUUGGGCCUGGUCGGGUAUGAAAUAGGCGAUGGCCAUGGCGGUAUUUAAUUUAAUACAAAAUGUGAUUUUACAAAACGUAUGAAUCUUUAAAAAAAUAUAUAACUUUAGUGUAGCAU